AUUUUGGACAAUGGGGGAAACCCUGAUCCAGCCAUCCCGCGUGUAUGAUGAAGGCCUUCGGGUUGUAAAGUACUUUUGGCAGAGAAGAAAAGGCAUCCCCUAAUACGGGAUGCUGCUGACGGUAUCUGCAGAAUAAGCACCGGCUAACUACGUGCCAGCAGCCGCGGUAAAACGUAGGACGCGAGCGUUAUCCGGAUUUACUGGGCGUAAAGCGCGGGCAGGCGGUGGUCCAAGUCGGACGUGAAAGCUCCCGGCUCAACUGGGAGAGGUCGUUCGAAACUGGGCCGCUAGAGGGCAGUAGAGGGGCGUGGAAUUCCACGUGUAGCAGUGAAAUGCGUAGAUAUGUGGAGGAAUACCGAUGGCGAAGGCAGCCCCCUGGGAUAAUACUGACGCUCAGACACGAAAGCGUGGGGAGCAAACAGG
RNAcentral lists this ribosomal RNA (423 nucleotides) under uncultured bacterium. RNAcentral's name for it is "partial 16S ribosomal RNA". It matches the Rfam family "Bacterial small subunit ribosomal RNA", at positions 361 to 776 of the family's 1533-position model. The record is from RNAcentral.